Molecule: ribosomal RNA, 427 nt
Filed under: uncultured fungus
Lineage: Eukaryota; Fungi
Description: eukaryotic LSU rRNA
Rfam family: Eukaryotic large subunit ribosomal RNA
Source: RNAcentral
GGCCUCAAAUCAGGUAGGACUACCCGCUGAACUUAAGCAUAUCAAUAAGCGGAGGAAAAGAAACUAACAAGGAUUCCCCUAGUAACGGCGAGUGAAGCGGGAAAAGCUCAAAUUUAAAAUCUGGCGGUCUACGGCCGCCCGAGUUGUAGUUUAGAGAGGCGUCUUCCGCGUCGGACCAUGUACAAGUCCCUUGGAAUGGGGCGUCAUAGAGGGUGAGAAUCCCGUUCAUGACAUGGACUGCCGGUGCUAUGUGAUGCGCCCUCAAAGAGUCGAGUUGUUUGGGAAUGCAGCUCAAAAUGGGUGGUAAAUUCCAUCUAAAGCUAAAUACAGGCGAGAGACCGAUAGCGAACAAGUACCGUGAGGGAAAGAUGAAAAGAACUUUGGAAAGAGAGUUAAACAGUACGUGAAAUUGUUGAAAGGGAAACGC